Molecule: ribosomal RNA, 328 nt
Filed under: uncultured eukaryote
Lineage: Eukaryota
Description: partial 18S ribosomal RNA
Rfam family: Eukaryotic small subunit ribosomal RNA
Source: RNAcentral
CCCUUAGAUGUUCUGGGCUGCACGCGCGCUACACUGAAGCGUUCAACGAGUAUUCACCUUGCCCGGGAGGGUUGGGUAAUCUUUUGAAAACGCUUCGUGAUGGGGAUAGAUUAUUGCAAUUAUUAAUCUUCAACGAGGAAUUCCUAGUAAGCGCGAGUCAUCAGCUCGUGCUGAUUACGUCCCUGCCCUUUGUACACACCGCCCGUCGCUCCUACCGAUUGAAUGGUCCGGUGAAGCGCUCGGACCGCGGCCUCUUGACGGUUCGCUGUCGAUUGGCUGUGGGAAGUUCGUUAAACCUUAUCAUUUAGAGGAAGGAGAANUCGUAACA